GCUGGUUUAGUUUAAUGGCAAAAUAAUUAAUUCGUAAUUAAUCAGAUAGAAGUUCGAAUCUUCUAAUCAGCACCA
RNAcentral lists this transfer RNA (75 nucleotides) under Metamycoplasma cloacale. RNAcentral's name for it is "Mycoplasma cloacale tRNA-Thr(cgt)". It matches the Rfam family "tRNA". From Rfam's summary of the family: Transfer RNA (tRNA) molecules are approximately 80 nucleotides in length. Lineage: Bacteria; Bacillati; Mycoplasmatota; Mycoplasmoidales; Metamycoplasmataceae. The record is from RNAcentral.